Molecule: RNA transcript, 1798 nt
Organism: Papaver somniferum (opium poppy)
Lineage: Eukaryota; Viridiplantae; Streptophyta; Magnoliopsida; Ranunculales; Papaveraceae
Gene name: F-box/FBD/LRR-repeat protein At2g26030-like
Exons: 6
Source: RefSeq, a predicted model, not a curated record
UCCCUGCUAAUAACCCUAAUUCCCAAAUGAUCUAAAUAAACUUUCAAACUUCAGGUCAUAAAUACUAAAUUUUCAUUUUUCAUCAGAUCAUUUACCAAAACCCUGAGCAUAAAUAUAGAAGAAAAACAAGAAGAAGCAGUAAAUCAUUCAAGCUUUCCUGUUCCAGAGGACAUUCUUUUGAGAUUACCAUUUAAAUCUAUCUCACUAUGACUCCGAGUUUUGGAAUAGGGAACCUUCAAGUUCAGGUGGCAAGUGCAUAGCUGGAGCGAUUUCACUUGAUUUAUCUAAACUGUGAGUGAGGUUUUUCGAGAUCAUGGUGCUUAUAAACCAGGAUCCUGGAGAAUCGCAAGGGAAGGAUAGAAUUAGUGAAUUGCCCGAUUCCCUUAUUAAUCUCAUUCUCAGUUUUCUUCCGACCAAAUGCGUCAUUUCCACAAGUGUUUUAUCUAAAAGAUGGAGGUACAUUUGGACCUCAGUACCUGUACUUGAAUUGGAAUUUCCAAGGACUCCUGAACUAAAAGAGUACACAACCAGGGAGGCUGAAAGAGUCCGGGAAUUAUAUUCAUCGCAGCAUCAGAGGUUUAUGAAUUUUGUUGAUAAUAAGCUUUCUCUUCACCAUGAGACACGAGAUAUAAAGAAAUUUUAUCUCGACUGUCGUUAUCAUUUUUAUCAUCAAAAAUCUCGGGUUGAAGAAUGGCUAUCUUCUUUACUAGCAUAGUCUGGAAGAGUUUGUUUUCUACGCAGAAUGUUCGCCGGAUAUAGGCUUCUUUCCUUCAAGUGGGACAUUUGCAUCACUUGUUACUUUAGAGGUAGAUACAUUGAGUCCAGUUUAUCUUCCUGAUGCAAUAAAUUUUCCAACGCUCAAGAUUUGUUGGCUUAGGAAUGCCGACUUGUAUAUGCAUUCUACAGAUCUGACUCGACAAUUCUUUUCUAACCUCCCUGUUCUUGAAGAAUUGGAGUUGACGGACUGUCAGUGGAACUGGUUCAUAUCGGAGCAAUUAUCAAUUUCAGCUCCUGCUUUGAAAUAUCUGUCCAUUACUGGUCCUAAUGAUGACCAAUGUUACAAUGAAGACUUUCCCUCUUAUGAAUUUAUUUUUAACAUUUUUGCACCAAAUCUACAGUCCCUCAGGGGGAAGAUUUAGUUGCAACUGAAGUUCUUGAAAAACUUUCCAAUGUAAAGCUUUUAAAGAUAUCUGGCGAGACCUUUGAGGCUCUCGCAUUCCUGAACCAUCUGUUGACAAAUUGGCCCAUGUUCCAUAACUUGGUCCAUUUGGAGUUCAUUUCGGAGGUCUCUUUUAAUAAUAAGAAUAAAACGAUGUUAAACUUUCUCAGAAUCUCACCUAAUCUAGAAACAAUUGUUAUUGCUUCGGGCUUUCUUGGAGACCUAUCCAGCACUGAUUGUGGUUGGACACCAGGUAUGGUGCCUCAGUGUAUGUUGUUGCACCUCAAGUUAGUCAAGCUGUUAGAGUUUGCUGGGUUCUUAGAAGAGCUCAAUACUGUAAAGUCAUUUUUGAAGAAUGCUAGAGUCCUGCGGAGGAUGAUCAUCAAAUUCUUUUCAAAUUUAUCAGCAGUUCAGCAGAAUAAAAUAAUGAAGCAGUUGAUAAAAAUUCCAAGAGGCCGCAGUAACUGUAUUAUGGAGGUCUUAUAAUAUACAGCUUCAGUUUGUUCAAACUUUGGCUGGUUUAGUGCCAAUCAAUGCUUUAGCUAUAUGUACUGAUUCAUAUAUCUUGGACGUUAGAUUUAUGUAACUGAGAUCGUCGCAUCGGUUAAUAUUUCCUUACUUUUUGAUUAGGUGGCUCAA